RNAcentral lists this ribosomal RNA (858 nucleotides) under uncultured methanogenic archaeon. RNAcentral's name for it is "bacterial SSU rRNA". It matches the Rfam family "Archaeal small subunit ribosomal RNA", at positions 5 to 873 of the family's 1478-position model. The record is from RNAcentral. Lineage: Archaea; Methanobacteriati; Methanobacteriota.
CGGUUGAUCCUGCCGGAGUUACUGCUAUCGGGGUCCGAUUAAGCCAUGCGAGUCGAGAGGUGCAAGACCUCGGCAUACUGCUCAGUAACACGUGGACAACCUACCCUGAGGAGGGGGAUAACCCCGGAAAACUGGGGAUAAUACCCCAUAGGCCAGGGAUGCUGGAAUGCCUCCUGGUUGAAAGGUCCGCGCCUCAGGAUGGGUCUGCGGCCGAUUAGGUUGUUGUUGGGGUAACGGCCCAACAAGCCAUUGAUCGGUACGGGUUGUGGGAGCAAGAGCCCGGAGAUGGAUUCUGAGACACGAAUCCAGGCCCUACGGGGCGCAGCAGGCGCGAAAACUUUACAAUGCGAGAAAUCGUGAUAAGGGAACCCCGAGUGCCCGUAAAUUCGGGCUGUCCAUCAGUGUAAAAAACUGGUGAAGAAAGGGCCGGGCAAGACCGGUGCCAGCCGCCGCGGUAAUACCGGCGGCUCGAGUGGUGGCCGCUAUUAUUGGGCUUAAAGCGUCCGUAGCUGGGUUGUUAAGUCUCCUGGGAAAUCCACCGGCUCAACCGGUGGGCGUUCGGGAGAAACUGGCAACCUAGGGACCGGGAGAGGUGAGAGGUACUCCAGGGGUAGGAGUGAAAUCCUGUAAUCCUUGGGGGACCACCUGUGGCGAAGGCGUCUCACUAGAACGGCUCCGACAGUGAGGGACGAAAGCUGGGGGAGCAAACCGGAUUAGAUACCCGGGUAGUCCCAGCUGUAAACGAUGCGCGUUAGGUGUAUCGGUGACCACGAGUCACCGAGGUGCCGAAGGGAAACCGUGAAACGUGCCGCCUGGGAAGUACGGUCGCAAGGCUGAAACUUAAAGGAAUUGGCGGGA